UCCGAUAUGGUGUAGUGGCCAACAUGAUGCCCUCUCAAGAUCUUGAGAGGUUAGGCUCUUGAGAGGUUAGGCAUAGCCCCGGAGUUCGAUUCUCGGUUUCGGAA
This 104-nucleotide transfer RNA is filed under the name Colletotrichum fructicola Nara gc5. RNAcentral's name for it is "tRNA-Glu for anticodon CUC". It matches the Rfam family "tRNA". From Rfam's summary of the family: Transfer RNA (tRNA) molecules are approximately 80 nucleotides in length. Their secondary structure includes four short double-helical elements and three loops (D, anti-codon, and T loops). The record is from RNAcentral. Lineage: Eukaryota; Fungi; Ascomycota; Sordariomycetes; Glomerellales; Glomerellaceae.